This 712-nucleotide ribosomal RNA is filed under the name Pseudoclavibacter helvolus. Its description in RNAcentral is "bacterial SSU rRNA". It matches the Rfam family "Bacterial small subunit ribosomal RNA", at positions 62 to 786 of the family's 1533-position model. The record is from RNAcentral. Lineage: Bacteria; Bacillati; Actinomycetota; Actinomycetes; Micrococcales; Microbacteriaceae.
UCGAACGAUGAAGCCCAGCUUGCUGGGUGGAUUAGUGGCGAACGGGUGAGUAACACGUGAGCAACGUGCCCAUAACUCUGGGAUAACCUCCGGAAACGGUGGCUAAUACUGGAUAUCUAACACGAUCGCAUGGUCUGUGUUUGGAAAGAUUUUUUGGUUAUGGAUCGGCUCACGGCCUAUCAGCUUGUUGGUGAGGUAAUGGCUCACCAAGGCGACGACGGGUAGCCGGCCUGAGAGGGUGACCGGCCACACUGGGACUGAGACACGGCCCAGACUCCUACGGGAGGCAGCAGUGGGGAAUAUUGCACAAUGGGCGAAAGCCUGAUGCAGCAACGCCGCGUGAGGGAUGACGGCCUUCGGGUUGUAAACCUCUUUUAGUAGGGAAGAAGCGAAAGUGACGGUACCUGCAGAAAAAGCACCGGCUAACUACGUGCCAGCAGCCGCGGUAAUACGUAGGGUGCAAGCGUUGUCCGGAAUUAUUGGGCGUAAAGAGCUCGUAGGCGGUUUGUCGCGUCUGCUGUGAAAUCCCGAGGCUCAACCUCGGGUCUGCAGUGGGUACGGGCAGACUAGAGUGUGGUAGGGGAGAUUGGAAUUCCUGGUGUAGCGGUGGAAUGCGCAGAUAUCAGGAGGAACACCGAUGGCGAAGGCAGAUCUCUGGGCCAUUACUGACGCUGAGGAGCGAAAGCAUGGGGAGCGAACAGGAUUAGAUACC